CCUACGGGUGACAGCAGUGGGGAAUAUUGCACAAUGGGGGAAACCCUGAUGCAGCGACGCCGCGUGAGUGAAGAAGUAAUUCGUUAUGUAAAGCUCUAUCAGCAGGGGAGAAAAUGACGGUACCUGAGUAUGAAGCCCCGGCUAACUACGUGCCAGCAGCCGCGGUAAUACGUAGGGGGCAGGCGUUAUCCGGAUUUACUGGGGGUAAAGGGGGCGUAGACGGCAGUGCAGGUCUGGAGUGAAAGGCGGGGGCUCAACCCCCGGACUGCGCGUGAAACUGUAGGGCUGGAGUGCAGGAGAGGUAAGUGGAAUUCCUAGUGUAGCGGUGAAAUGCGUAGAUAUUAGGAGGAACACCAGUGGCGAAGGCAGCUUACUGGAGUGUAACUGACGUUGAGGCUCGAAAGCGUGGGGAGCAAACAGGAUUAGAUACCCCGGUAGUC
RNAcentral lists this ribosomal RNA (440 nucleotides) under uncultured bacterium. RNAcentral describes it as "partial 16S ribosomal RNA". It matches the Rfam family "Bacterial small subunit ribosomal RNA", at positions 338 to 795 of the family's 1533-position model. The record is from RNAcentral.